Molecule: ribosomal RNA, 250 nt
Filed under: Shigella flexneri
Lineage: Bacteria; Pseudomonadati; Pseudomonadota; Gammaproteobacteria; Enterobacterales; Enterobacteriaceae
Description: partial 16S ribosomal RNA
Rfam family: Bacterial small subunit ribosomal RNA (bases 1-161)
Source: RNAcentral
CUGACCGAGCAACGCCGCGUGAGUGAAGAAGGUUUUCGGAUCGUAAAGCUCUGUUGUAAGAGAAGAACGAGUGUGAGAGUGGAAAGUUCACACUGUGACGGUAUCUUACCAGAAAGGGACGGCUAACUACGUGCCAGCAGCCGCGGUAAUACUGACCGAGCAACGCCGCGUGAGUGAAGAAGGUUUUCGGAUCGUAAAGCUCUGUUGUAAGAGAAGAACGAGUGUGAGAGUGGAAAGUUCACACUGUGAC